Molecule: long non-coding RNA, 377 nt
Organism: Hyla sarda
Lineage: Eukaryota; Metazoa; Chordata; Amphibia; Anura; Hylidae
Exons: 2
Source: RefSeq, a predicted model, not a curated record
UUAGAGAGAGCUGAGACUGAGAAACUGUGAGAGGAUCCUACUGUAUUCAGGUGUGGGAGCAUACUUCAGUGACCAGAACUAAGUGAAGCUGCUUGUGUCUGAGACCCUGAUCCUGUCCAGAGGAACGAGGAUUGCUUCCAGGAACACGGAUGAGAGCUGAGGAGCAAAACAACAUAGACUGGGGGACCACACGUUUGUUGAAGAAGCAUUUGUUCUGUUCAGAGUCACCAGCGGAUGCAGGGCAGACCCAGGUCCGGUGGGAAAACCGCAUAUGGGGCAAAAAUGAGCUGACCGGAGUCAGCAUAUGGCUGGGAUACAGAAGUGCCCGAUUUUACCUUCCACCAUCUGUAUACGGUCCCGUAUGGGUAUAAACGUAA